This 2900-nucleotide ribosomal RNA is filed under the name Spiroplasma endosymbiont of Danaus chrysippus. The record is from RNAcentral. Lineage: Bacteria; Bacillati; Mycoplasmatota; Mollicutes; Entomoplasmatales; Spiroplasmataceae.
UUCACCAUAAUCAAUAACAAUAGAUUGUGGUUUAUCUUUAAUAAUUUGUUCUUUUUUAAAUUCUAUUUGCAUAAUUAAUCACUUCUACAUCAAUCACAAACAUAUCCAAAUGGUUUUGUAUAAUCUAAAUGUUCUUCAAUAUCAUAAUUAUCUUCAUAUUUUUUAGUAUUAUGUUGUUGUGAUUCUAAUUCUGUUUUAAAGUGAUAAAGCAUAUUGAUUUUGUCAUCUUCAUAUAAUUCAUUACAUUCAACACAUCUUUUUCUUCUUUUUUUAAUUUUUUUAUCAAUCUUUCUUAGUGCUUCAUAAUCAAGAAUUUCUAUUGUCAUAAUAAUCCUUUCCUAAUAUGUCCUGUUGCUUCCUAGCAUAAAGGACAUAUAUUUUUAUUUUUAAAUUAUUAAUACUACUUUUAUUAUUUUUAUUCAUUGCACAAAUCGUGGGCUCAAAAAUAAAUUUCAAAAAAAAUAAAAAAUAAAACCAACACUUGCUCACUGAAGAGUGGCAAGGUUGGUUAAAUAAAGAAUAGAAUUAAUACAAUAGGUCCCUACAACAGGUCUAUAUAUACUAGUUUCCAAUUCGCUCCCACCCCAAGAAUUACCAUUAAAUGGUUAGUAUAUUUUAUUAGGUAUCACUCCACUUUUUAUUUAUCCAUGCAAGUCCACAUGUUCUAGCUACUAUUUUUAACAACUGUGUUGUAGUUCACUGUUUUAAUUCCCUAACACUUGUUGAUAAUAGUGUUAAAGAAGAUUAUUAAUUAUUAACUUUCUCCUACUUGGUAACUGCGUGUAGUAGAUAUUUAAAGGGUGUUAAUAAUAAAAAUUUUAAAAUUUUACAAUUACAAAAAAAGACAAGAUUUUUAUUCUCGUCUUUUAUAAUUUAUUUUUAAUUCAAGGGUAAAAAAAAGAAAGGCGCUAUUUUUAAAACUUUUUAGUUAUUGACAUCUUCGACACGCUCCCAAAAAUAAAAUUUAUUUUUCAUCUAUCUUUAUUUUUUUAUUAUUUAUUAAUAAUAAAAACUUUUUUAUUGUAUAUUAUUUUUUUCACAUAUAAACUUUAAUUAAGAUUUACCUAAAAUAACUAUUAAAAAAUAUUAGAAUUUAUCAUUACUAAUUUAUAUAAAACUGUUUCAACAAAAUUAAGUAUUAAUCUACUUUUUUAAAUCUAUAACAAAACUAGUAAUAUAUUAUUGAUUAAAUUAUAUAUAUGAUGUUAUUAUUACUAAUUUAACUUUAUAAAUAAUAUAAAAAUACUAAUUUUUAUAUGAAUUAAAUUAAUUAACAAUAUUUUACAUUUUUUUCUAAACCUACGAUAUUAAAUAAUAAAAAAUCAAAUUUUUGGUAAAUCUUAAUAUUAAAAAUUAAUAUUUAUAUUAAUUUAAAGAAAGAGGUACUUAUUAAAAAAUGAUAAAUAAUAAAAAGAAAAUAUUAGAAAAAGAAAGUCUAACUAAUAAUAAAUAUAAAACCAAAAUUGAAAAAUUAAAUAAAAAACUACAAGAAAGUCUUGAUGAUUUAAAAGAAAUAAGUGAUGUCUAUGCAAAAUCAGAAAGAGAUGCAUUAGAUAAAAGAAAAAUAAUUACAAAUCUUGCAAAUAAAAUUACAGAAUUAGAAACACAGUUAAUAGAAAAUCAACAACAAGCAGAAAUAAAAAAUAAUAAUAAAAAAAAGGGAUGGUAACAAAAACGGAGGAUAUAAUUACUUUUUAAACAUUUCUUUAAAAUUAUAGACAAGAAUUUAAAAUUAUAGACAAGUAAUAGGGGCUUUGCCCCUCGUUGCUUCGCAACUCACCCCAGCGGGGCUAAACGCCGCGGCCAACCAACCAAGGUUCUGGUUGGCACCGACCAAUAAUAUAGAUUUAUUCUAUUUUAAUAUUUUUUUUAUUUUUCUUAGAAUGUUUAUUUCUAUAAUAACAAACACGACAUACAGUAUUUUCAAUUUCUUUCUUUUCGGUCUGUAAUAUAUUAUCCAACUUAUCUAAUCCUACUGCUCUAAUAUCAUCAACAGUAAAAUCUAAUGCUUGUGACUGUUCAUAUUCUUUAACGUUACUUAAUUCACUCUUUAACGAAUGAAUAUAAUUUAAAGCACGACUAUUAUAUCUUUGUAAAUAAGACCUAGGAAAUCAUAAACUAAAAGUCAUAGUUUCACCACUAUAAUUAGGUGGCAAUCCACCACGUUUAAUUAUUUUCUUAGUUUGUCUUUUAGAUAAUACAACUUUAUUAUAAUCAUCAACAUUAGUAUAAAUAUUAAGUUUAAAUUUAACUAAAAAUAACAAAAUACGCAUUCUUUUAACUUGAACAAUAUAUUCUACUUUUUCACGUGCUUGUUUUGGUAUUCUAUCGGGGUGUUGUUCAAUCAUAUACAUAAUUCCAUUAAAAUUAUGACCUAUCAAUUUACAAAACAUUCCCAAACUUUCUUGUGUUUCUUUAAAUUCGGGUGACAAAUCAUUACUAUUAAUUUUCAAACCUAACUCAUCUAAAACAACCAUAUCACACUCUUUAAAAGCAUAAUUACUAUUUAAUUGAUUAAAUUUAAAAACAUCAUCAUAAGAACAGCGAUAACUAUAUUCAUUACGUACUUUAAUAGGAAUAGGACUCACUACCCUACCUUUAUGUUUUUGUGCUAAACAACAAGCAAGAGCAGAUUUACCAGUACGUGGUGGUGCUGAAAUAAUNACGAGAGGACCGGAAUGGACCUAUCUCUGGUGCACCAGUUGUCACGCCAGUGGCACAGCUGGGUAGCUAUGUAGGGCAUGAAUAAGCGCUGAAAGCAUCUAAGCGCGAAGUCAGUUCCAAGAUGAGAUUUCUCAUUCGAAAGAAGUAAGAUCCCUUGAAUACUACAAGGUUGAUAGGUCAGGUGUGUAAGCAUAGUGAUAUGUUCAGCUUACUGAUACUAAUAGAUCGAGGAUUUA